UUUUACCCUAAGACUAACUUAUAUGUAAUCACCCCCAAAGAGAUAUUCAUCAAACUUUACUUUAUCCUAGAGAUCUAUUGAAAGAGUUUUGAUGAAUAUCUGUUGGAAGAGAUAUUCACCACUGUCAAUUUGAUCAUGAGUUGCAACUACAGAUCUCUGGGAUGUAUUGCAAGUUCAAAAAACAAAAAAAAAAUCAUUGAGAAACAGAUCUCUAACAUCUUGUAUGGGAC
This 230-nucleotide long non-coding RNA is filed under the name Lathyrus oleraceus (garden pea). RNAcentral's name for it is "Pisum sativum (pea) long non-coding RNA (PSAT_LNC000780)". The record is from RNAcentral. Lineage: Eukaryota; Viridiplantae; Streptophyta; Magnoliopsida; Fabales; Fabaceae.